This 432-nucleotide ribosomal RNA is filed under the name uncultured bacterium. RNAcentral's name for it is "partial 16S ribosomal RNA". It matches the Rfam family "Bacterial small subunit ribosomal RNA", at positions 29 to 506 of the family's 1533-position model. The record is from RNAcentral.
AACGAACGCUGGCGGCAUGCCUAACACAUGCAAGUCGAACGAGACCUUCGGGUCUAGUGGCGCACGGGUGCGUAACGCGUGGGAACCUGCCCUUAGGUUCGGAAUAACUCCCCGAAAGGGGUGCUAAUACCGGAUAAUGUCUUCGGACCAAAGAUUUAUCGCCUUUGGAUGGGCCCGCGUUGGAUUAGCUAGUUGGUAGGGUAAAAGCCUACCAAGGCGACGAUCCAUAGCUGGUCUGAGAGGAUGAUCAGCCACACUGGGACUGAGACAAGGCCCAGACUCUUACGGGAGGGAGCAGUGGGGAAUAUUGGACAAUGGGCGAAAGACUGAUCCAGCAAUGCCGCGUGAGUGAUGAAGGCCUUAGGGUUGUAAAGCUCUUUUACCCGGGAUGAUAAGGACAGUACCGGGAGAAUAAGCUCCGGCUAACUCCGU